UUUGUCAUUUACUUGUGAGAGGUGGAAUGUUAGCGGCAGGACCACCGACUACAAGUCUAGCCAGCUGCUCUGGGAAAACUUCUUUGCAUAACCAUGAAGGACUGCUCUCUAUGAUCCACUCACCCCAUCCACAGGACAGAAGCAGCGGGAGGAGCAUACUCAGGUCACCUGGAACCGAUGGUGUAUCUCCAGGGUCUUACAACAGCAACUGGCUCAUCACGGGUAUUCAGGUAAUAGUUGCUGAG
Homo sapiens (human) is the source of this 245-nucleotide long non-coding RNA. RefSeq lists it as uncharacterized. The record is from RefSeq and is a predicted model, not a curated record. The transcript is spliced from 3 exons. NCBI's taxonomy places the organism in Eukaryota, Metazoa, Chordata, Mammalia, Primates, Hominidae.